UGGAAGUACUUCCGUCGUGAGCAUGCCGCCACUCUGGAAAACAAAAUGGGACUGUCGGAGGUUGUGGGUCACAGCUCCCCCUGCACCAUGAAAACAUCACUGCUGGAGCCUUUACUCAUGGUUCAAAAGCCCAGGAAACUCUUCCACACGCCUGACCUGCUGUACUCGUCAAGCACCCAAAAGGAAAGACAAAAUAACCUGGAAAAAUAGUCCAUGUUUGCAAACUGCUUGUAGAUUUCUACUGGAAACCUUUUACCAUUUCUAAAUGCAGUGGUUUAACCCGCACUGGCUGCGUGCUGACUCCUUAUCGAGGGCUGGCUUUACAAGGACGGACAUGCUCGCGGUGGAGGUGGGCUCUCACGUGAAGACAAUCAGGAGAAUUUGGCUGCCACGGAUGGCAAACAGUAUCUGUCAGUUUGCUUCACCUUUGUGGAACUGUCCUGUGGCGUGUGCACUCGGCUCCAUCACCGACCGAUUCAAGCUCCGUCUCCCGGCUACCUCGGAUCCUGGAGCCCCACCUCCACCAGAAAGGAAAAAAAUGUCCAGACCAGCUAACUCAAGACUCAGGGAACGGAAGGAAAAGGAAUCAUUUGCAAAAGCAAUCGAGUCCCUACAAGGACUUUCUUCUCUGCAGAUUCUUGUCAUCACGAAGUGACACGUUGAUCCCUCUACCUCAACCCUCGUAAAACCCUGUGACGGAACGAGGAGUCUGGAGCCAGCUGGGAGCAGUGAAGGGGGCUGGGCCAUUUCCUUUUGCAAACGUUCAAGUACUUUGUCGGUUGCAAUGGAUCAGAAAAAAAAAAAAAUGCCGGAGGCUGAACCUGGAGGGCUUGAGGGCUUGCAGAGGCAGCCAGCUGAAACUUUGCAAACAUUUAGCAUCCAGCUCAUUUUUAAUCUCAUAAGCCUAAUUUUUCCCCCCAGCAUAUGGGAUGCAUAAAAAGGAAAUAAAACUUUCGUCAAUUGAGCCUUCCUUGUGCUU
Molecule: long non-coding RNA, 979 nt
Filed under: Oryctolagus cuniculus (rabbit)
Lineage: Eukaryota; Metazoa; Chordata; Mammalia; Lagomorpha; Leporidae
Description: lncRNA (ENSOCUG00000034718.1)
Source: RNAcentral